RNAcentral lists this long non-coding RNA (1786 nucleotides) under Helianthus annuus (common sunflower). Its description in RNAcentral is "hypothetical non coding rna". Lineage: Eukaryota; Viridiplantae; Streptophyta; Magnoliopsida; Asterales; Asteraceae. The record is from RNAcentral.
UCGAGCCCGGCUCGUUUACACCCCUAGGAGCAAGUUUGCUAAACCAUAAUUAGUUUUUAUAACUACAAUCCUUGUACUUGUAAUUUAUUAAACCUCAAUAAAUAAAUAAAUAAAUAACCUAAUUGUCAUUCAUGGACAUAGAUCAAUUUAGACCGAACCACGUGAAUAUAUAUGUUUGUUUAUUGUUUUUCAUGUUUCAUGUGUGCUCAAUCUAACACCUAAUAUCUAUGCUAAAACAAUAUGAUGAAACAUGAGAUGUUUAUUUUAUAACAAUUCAUACUAGCUCUCUGCAAAAUGUACAAAUCGUGUUAUACAAGUGAUGGUUUAGAACGGGUUCGGAUUAAAAUAAGCUAUUUAGAAGUAUCAAUUAAUUUUAGGUCAAAACGAGUUAUGCCCAAAGUUGGUUAAAACUGAGAAGGGUCGUGUUCGAAAAAAAGGUUAAAACGAGUUAUGCCCAAAGUUAAUUAAAACUGAAAUGGACCGUGUUCGAAAAAAAUGUUAAUCUGACAAAAAAUUGGUAAGUGUAGCAAAUAUUGAACACAUACAUGAAUGCAUGACUGUCUAAAUAUUUUGAAUUGGGGUUUUGUAAUGUUAAUGCAAACAUAGAUCAUGAUAAUAUAAUUAUAAAAUACAUGAUAGAAAUUUUAUUUAUAAAUGAUCAUAUAUUCAUAGAUCGACCACCAAGUGCACUGAACAAAAAUUUGGUAAAUAAGUCAUACUCUUGAUACGACGAUGAUGAGACCUUUCAAUGAGACCCUAGAGGAGGGUUACCCUUUUACAUUUUAUGUGGUUUAUGUUUUUCAUGGUGAUGAGACCCGUCAAUGAGACCCUAGACGAGGGUAACCCUUUUAUUUAAGAAAAAUAACUUAGAUUUGAUAAAUAAAAAAUAAAGACGGUCACUGUUAUUUUAAACUAUCAAACUCGUGCUUAAAAACUAGUAAUGUUUCCUAUUUGAAUGUAACCUUAUUAUUUGAUUGAACAAUUUAGGGUGUGCAACUAUUUUGUUAGGUCCUAAUGUUUUUAUAUCUUAGGUAUAAAUUCACGUAAAAAUGUGUAGAUAAAAGGUGUUUAGAUUAGUUCUGUAGUAUAAUCGUGUGUUGACCAAAGUAUAAUCUUAGUGAAUUGUCUAAGUUUGUAAAAAUUAAACGUAUAUUAAUCAUCAUGAUAGAGUAUAGACUUCGUUGCGGUAAAGGUUUGUCAUUUACAUAACUCAAAAAAAAUUAAACUUAUAUAAUUUUUGUUAGUCAACUUAAGCUGAAUGCAUCAAAAACAGCCUAAAAUAUAGAAAAAUACUAAUGUGACAUGUAGUAUGUUGGUCCAUUAGACCAAGUAGAACUUGAUCCAUUGUUCGAGCAUCCAUAUUUGAGUUUAAUAUAUUAUCCUUUUAUAUAUUUAUAUUAUUAUAUAAGCCUUAAAAAUGUGUAGAUAAAAGGUGUCUAAAAGAUACAUUCUUAAAAGAAACUUUAAUUUUAAGGUACUCUUUUUAUUUGGUUUACAAUUAUUGUUGGGAGUUAAAUUAUGUACUUUUAUAUUUUUCUAUUCGUCAAUAGAAACAUCUGAGAUUCUAAUAGCUUUAUGAUUUUUUAUAGCAAAUCUUUUAUACUUUAAUUCCAUUUUUAUCUUACACUUCUAAGGAUUUAUUUAAUUAUUAAAGUCCUUCAUUCGAAAAUCUUUUGAAGGAAAUUAAAACAUUCAUGUUACAUCUAAUUAUAUCCCUCAAAAGAGAAAUGAAGAUGGAAGCCUGAUGGUUUGGAUCUAUGUUGUGGAUUGCGUGUAUAUACCCUAA